Molecule: non-coding RNA, 204 nt
Organism: Vicia faba (fava bean)
Lineage: Eukaryota; Viridiplantae; Streptophyta; Magnoliopsida; Fabales; Fabaceae
Source: the annotation of a GenBank genome assembly
AUGCUAAUCUCUCUUUCUCCGACCAAACUCUCUCCGCCUCUGUUCACCAGUUCCGAUUUUCACCAUCUCCGACUCCGACUCCGUUCACCAGUUCCACAGAUACUUCCUCUAUCAGCUUUCGAACUUUGCAACUCUACUCCCUCCGACUCUGACUCCAACUCCGACGUUGCAAGGCUAAACUCCUGCUUUCAUCUACUACUUUAA